RNAcentral lists this ribosomal RNA (748 nucleotides) under Escherichia coli. Its description in RNAcentral is "partial 23S ribosomal RNA". It matches the Rfam family "Bacterial large subunit ribosomal RNA", at positions 2180 to 2925 of the family's 2925-position model. Lineage: Bacteria; Pseudomonadati; Pseudomonadota; Gammaproteobacteria; Enterobacterales; Enterobacteriaceae. The record is from RNAcentral.
AUGGAGCCGACCUUGAAAUACCACCCUUUAAUGUUUGAUGUUCUAACGUUGACCCGUAAUCCGGGUUGCGGACAGUGUCUGGUGGGUAGUUUGACUGGGGCGGUCUCCUCCUAAAGAGUAACGGAGGAGCACGAAGGUUGGCUAAUCCUGGUCGGACAUCAGGAGGUUAGUGCAAUGGCAUAAGCCAGCUUGACUGCGAGCGUGACGGCGCGAGCAGGUGCGAAAGCAGGUCAUAGUGAUCCGGUGGUUCUGAAUGGAAGGGCCAUCGCUCAACGGAUAAAAGGUACUCCGGGGAUAACAGGCUGAUACCGCCCAAGAGUUCAUAUCGACGGCGGUGUUUGGCACCUCGAUGUCGGCUCAUCACAUCCUGGGGCUGAAGUAGGUCCCAAGGGUAUGGCUGUUCGCCAUUUAAAGUGGUACGCGAGCUGGGUUUAGAACGUCGUGAGACAGUUCGGUCCCUAUCUGCCGUGGGCGCUGGAGAACUGAGGGGGGCUGCUCCUAGUACGAGAGGACCGGAGUGGACGCAUCACUGGUGUUCGGGUUGUCAUGCCAAUGGCACUGCCCGGUAGCUAAAUGCGGAAGAGAUAAGUGCUGAAAGCAUCUAAGCACGAAACUUGCCCCGAGAUGAGUUCUCCCUGACCCUUUAAGGGUCCUGAAGGAACGUUGAAGACGACGACGUUGAUAGGCCGGGUGUGUAAGCGCAGCGAUGCGUUGAGCUAACCGGUACUAAUGAACCGUGAGGCUUAAC